AUGUAGGAGCCAGAGCGUUACAGUUACAAAUGUUUAUUCUACAUAAAAAUUCCACAAAAUGGGAAGCUGUUUGCACCCAAAGCUUUGGGAGAAGAAGGGGGAGGCUAGCAAGGAGAGAAAGGGUGAAGGAGAGAAGAGGCAACAUACAGUGUCAUCCAGCCCAGUGAGACAGAGCAAGCCGGGGUCAAGAUCCACAUAGAAAACAAGGACACUUAGCUCACAGUACAGCAACGGUACAACUCCACGGGGGGCUUGGAAAGCCUUCAAGUACAUUAAUUACAAAAAAAAAAAAAUCCCCAGUUCGAGUGCAAGCUGUGCGUGCCCCACACUGCUCGUGGAAUACUGCAUCAAGACACGCUCCCGGCGCUGGGAGGGCGGGUGGCACUUGGAACAGAGGCGGUUGCGGGGAGGGGGCAGUCUGGAACGAAAAGAGUGAAAUGUUUCUCCAAAGCACAACCACAUUGUUGGUGAUCCGGUCUGUACAUGCAGUGGGCAGGUAAAAAGGAACCGAAUGGGGCUUCCCAUAGUGCAGGGGUAUUUAUUGCAC
Molecule: non-coding RNA, 547 nt
Organism: Tinamus guttatus (white-throated tinamou)
Lineage: Eukaryota; Metazoa; Chordata; Aves; Tinamiformes; Tinamidae
Source: RefSeq, a predicted model, not a curated record